UUCCGGUUGAUCCUGCCGGACCUGACUGCUAUCGGAUUGAUACUAAGCCAUGCGAGUCUUUGUAGUAAUACAAGGCAGACGGCUCAGUAACACGUAGUCAAUCUACCCUAUGGACGGGGAUAACCUCGGGAAACUGAGAAUAAUACCCGACAGAUCAUAAUGCCUGGAAUGGUUUAUGGUUCAAAUGAUUUUUCGCCAUAGGAUGGGACUGCGGUCUAUCAGCUUGUUGGUGAGGUAAUGGCCCACCAAGGCUAUAACAGAUACGGGCUCUGAGAGGAGAAGCCCGGAGAUGGGUACUGAGACACGGACCCAGGUCCUAUGGGGCGCAGCAGGCGAGAAAACUUUGCAAUGUGCGAAAGCACGACAAGGUUAAUCCGAGUGUUUUCUGCUAAAGAAAUCUUUUGUUAGUUCUAAAACCACUAUCGAAUAAGGGGUGGGCAAGUUCUGGUGUCAGCCGCCGCGGUAAAACCAGCACCUCAAGUGGUCAGGAUGAUUAUUGGGCCUAAAGCAUCCGUAGCCGGCUAUGUUAGUUUUCGGUUAAAUCCAUGUGCUCAACGCAUGGGCUGUCGAGAAUACUGCAUAGCUAGGGAGUGGGAGAGGUAGACGGUACUCUGUAGGAAGGGGUAAAAUCCUUUGAUCUAUAGAUGACCACCAGUGGCGAAGGCGGUCUACCAGAACACGUCCGACGGUGAGGGAUGAAAGCUGGGGGAGCAAACCGGAUUAGAUACCCGGGUAGUCCCAGCUGUAAACUAUGCAAACUCAGUGAUGCAUUGGCUUGUGGCCAGUGCAGUGCCGCAGAGAAGUCGUUAAGUUUGCCGCCUGGGAAGUACGUACGCAAGUAUGAAACUUAAAGGAAUUGGCGGGGGAGCACCACAAGGGGUGAAGCCUGCGGUUCAAUUGGAGUCAACGCCGGAA
Molecule: ribosomal RNA, 915 nt
Filed under: uncultured crenarchaeote
Lineage: Archaea; Thermoproteati; Thermoproteota
Description: bacterial SSU rRNA
Rfam family: Archaeal small subunit ribosomal RNA
Source: RNAcentral